RNAcentral lists this transfer RNA (71 nucleotides) under Marmota monax (woodchuck). Its description in RNAcentral is "tRNA.Ala". The record is from RNAcentral. Lineage: Eukaryota; Metazoa; Chordata; Mammalia; Rodentia; Sciuridae.
GGGGUUGUAGCUUAGUGGCAGAGUGUUUGCCUAGCAUGUGCAAACCACUGGGUUCGAUCCUCAGAACCACA